Molecule: long non-coding RNA, 521 nt
Organism: Mastomys coucha (southern multimammate mouse)
Lineage: Eukaryota; Metazoa; Chordata; Mammalia; Rodentia; Muridae
Exons: 2
Source: RefSeq, a predicted model, not a curated record
GGGAAGCAACUGUCAGAUCAGGUUCACUGAUGUGGGGAGACUCAUCUGAACAUAUGCAGCACCAUUCCAGGGGCUGGAACACAAGACCAGAUAAGCCGGGGAAAGAGUCGAGCCCCAGCAGUCAUCCGUUUCUGAUUCCGACUCCAGACACAGUGUAUUAUGCUGCCACACACUCCUGAUGCUGUGACUUCUGAAGCCUGGUGGGCUGUACUCUACAGCAGUGGAAUUGGGAUAACAGAGUUUAUUAGCUGGGUUCACUGGCUUCUCUUCCCCAAAGCUUGAAACUAUUCUUCAAACUUAGCCAAGGCCCUUCCUUUGUGAGCAAGCCAGCUUCAGGAGCCCAGGCAAGCACAUGGACAAGGUUCAGGCUGGGCUUCCUGAAGAAAGCUGUGAACAGAGCCUGCCAGCCACAGGCUGGACCUUCCCAACAGCAGAACAGAAGGUUCAUGUUCAUCCUCUGUAGACAAUUCUACAAUUCUAAACACUGACAAGUCCAUAAAACUUAAACUUUUUAUUUUGUU